UACGAACUGUGCAAACGUUAUUCGGAAUCACUGGGCUUAAAGGGUGCGUAGGCGGCUUGUUAAGUAGGGUGCGAAAUCCCAAGGCUCAACCUUGGAAUUGCGCCCUAAACUGGCGAGCUGGAGUGAGAUAGGGGUGUGUGGAACUUCCAGUGGAGCGGUGAAAUGUGUUGAUAUUGGAAGGAACGCCAGUGGCGAAAGCGACACACUGGGUCUCAACUGACGCUGAGGCACGAAAGCCAGGGGAGCAAACGGG
RNAcentral lists this ribosomal RNA (253 nucleotides) under uncultured bacterium. RNAcentral's name for it is "partial 16S ribosomal RNA". It matches the Rfam family "Bacterial small subunit ribosomal RNA", at positions 524 to 776 of the family's 1533-position model. The record is from RNAcentral.